GUCACGUUAUCAAGGAGCGCGAAAAUUGGCAGAAAACUAAAGUUGUUUUGAUCUUUUAUGGUAAACAUAAAACUGUUCUGCGAUUUCAAGAAUAAUAAAAUAAUCCUUCUACAACAGAAGGGAGUGUCCAAGAUUUCAAUAUUUCUGAAGGGAGCUGCUGACAGAGAUGUAGGAAGCACUGAAAAGAUUCUCCAGUGCUGAUGGCCUGCUGCAUCCAGCAGAGUCGCAGUGAACCUACUGUAAGACAACAUCUCCAAGAUGCUAUUGACCACAAGACUAGUACAGGUUAUUAGAAACUGCACAGCACAGGACUUACAGGACUUGUGAGGACUUCAGAUGAUACCAGUACUCAAAAGACCUUAGAUGAUGGCAACUAUAGAUGGACAUACAAACUACCGCC
Carassius gibelio (silver crucian carp) is the source of this 400-nucleotide long non-coding RNA. RefSeq lists it as uncharacterized. NCBI's taxonomy places the organism in Eukaryota, Metazoa, Chordata, Actinopteri, Cypriniformes, Cyprinidae. The record is from RefSeq and is a predicted model, not a curated record. The transcript has 3 exons.